UCUCCCCUCUUUCUUUCUCUUUUUCUUUGAAUGUCGAUGCUGCUUCUUCUCUUCUGCCUCUCACUCUCCUAUGUGCCCUAAAUGAGUAAAAUGAUGAAUAUAUAUAUCAUCAUGGAUGGGCCAAAAAUAAUCCUGAUGGGCUCUUCUAAUUGUUGGGCUUCCUCUACAUAGGAGAGAUCCAUAAAACCCAACAAUUCUCCCCCUCUCAACUAUGUGGAGAUAUUCGCCAACCCGAUGAUCAAACGAUAAG
Molecule: long non-coding RNA, 250 nt
Filed under: Elaeis guineensis (African oil palm)
Lineage: Eukaryota; Viridiplantae; Streptophyta; Magnoliopsida; Arecales; Arecaceae
Description: long non-coding RNA (EGUI_LNC030544)
Source: RNAcentral